RNAcentral lists this ribosomal RNA (497 nucleotides) under uncultured bacterium. RNAcentral describes it as "partial 16S ribosomal RNA". It matches the Rfam family "Bacterial small subunit ribosomal RNA", at positions 28 to 507 of the family's 1533-position model. The record is from RNAcentral.
GAUGAACGCUGGCGGCGUGCCUAAUACAUGCAAGUCGAGCGAACAGACGAGGAGCUUGCUCCUCUGACGUUAGCGGCGGACGGGUGAGUAACACGUGGAUAACCUACCUAUAAGACUGGGAUAACUUCGGGAAACCGGAGCUAAUACCGGAUAAUAUAUUGAACCGCAUGGUUCAAUAGUGAAAGACGGUUUUGCUGUAUCGUCUAGAUGGAUCCGCGCCGCAUUAGCUAGUUGGUAAGGUAAAGGCUUAUCACGGCAACGAUGCGUAGCCGAGCGGAGAGGGGGAUCGGCCGCACGGGAACUGAGCCACGGUCCAGGGUCCUACGGGAGGCAGCAGUAGGGAAUCGUCGGCAAUGGGCGAAAGCCUGACGGAGCAACGCGGCGUGAGUGAUGAAGGUCUUCGGAUCGUAAAACUCUGUUAUUAGGGAAGAACAAAUGUGUAAGUAACUAUGCACGUAUUGACGGUACCUAAUCAGAAAGCCACGGCUAACUACGUG